AUCCAGCUGACGAGUCCCAAAUGAGACGAAACGCGUGUCCUGGAU
Molecule: non-coding RNA, 45 nt
Filed under: Schistosoma mansoni
Lineage: Eukaryota; Metazoa; Platyhelminthes; Trematoda; Strigeidida; Schistosomatidae
Source: RNAcentral